UCCAUCAUCCUCACUGUGAGAGAAGUUGUGCCUGCCCUCCUAUGUUUCUUUUUUCCUUUUUUUAAAAUUAAUUAACUAAUCAGAAAGCUAAAGGUGAAUCUAUACCUAAACAUGAGGAAGAAGUUUUCGCCAAAGAAUCAGAGAGCUAUAUGGAAACUUUUACCUGGCUGCAAGUGAGGACAAUCCUAUUGGAGCUUAGAGACAAUCCUUUCCCAGGCCAGGCAGAGGACAUGAGAAGAGAAGCAGAGAAGUGGCUUCUUGAAGAGACUUCCUAAAGGCCUGGGCAAAGGCGGAAGCCUAUGAACACAAACAAGCUUGACCAUAAAGGAAACAUUGGUACUACGAUUACGCCUGCUUGUUAUGAUGAACGUCAUCCAUGUCAAUACUACAGUGACUAUACCAACAAGGAAAGAGAAAACAAAGGCAAAUCAAAGAGCAGAAAGAAAGAGUGUAAGAAGGAAAAGGAGUGGGAAAGGGGAAGAAGUGCAGGAGAAGUGAGCAUCUGUAUGGAGUAACUCAGCCCAAAUUCCUGUCAUUUUAUGAUGGCAAAGUUGGACCAGAAGAUAAACUGACAAACAUAGUCCAAUUUUUGCAUUUAUGUUGUUCCAGUAGCUUUGCAGCAGCCUGUUCUGGUUCCUCAAUAGGGUCUGUUGAGCCCUG
Pogona vitticeps (central bearded dragon) is the source of this 660-nucleotide non-coding RNA. The record is from RefSeq and is a predicted model, not a curated record. Lineage: Eukaryota; Metazoa; Chordata; Lepidosauria; Squamata; Agamidae.